Molecule: ribosomal RNA, 501 nt
Filed under: uncultured bacterium
Lineage: Bacteria
Description: bacterial SSU rRNA
Rfam family: Bacterial small subunit ribosomal RNA
Source: RNAcentral
GAUGAACGCUGGCGGCGUGCCUAACACAUGCAAGUCGAGCGUGAACCCUUGGAAUGAAACUUCGGUCGAGUGAAGAGGGGGAAAGCGGCGGACGGGUGAGUAACGCGUAGGCAACCUGCCCCAUACAGAGGGAUAGCCUCGGGAAACCGGGAUUAAAACCUCAUAACACCAUGAGAUCACAUGAUUUGAUGGUCAAAGAUUUAUCGGUAUGGGAUGGGCCUGCGUCUGAUUAGCUGGUUGGUGGGGUAACGGCCUACCAAGGCGACGAUCAGUAGCCGACCUGAGAGGGUAAUCGGCCACAUUGGAACUGAGACACGGUCCAAACUCCUACGGGAGGCAGCAGUGGGGAAUAUUGCACAAUGGGCGAAAGCCUGAUGCAGCAACGCCGCGUGAGCGAAGAAGGCCUUUGGGUCGUAAAGCUCUGUCGAGAAGGAAGAUAAUGACGGUACUUCUCGAGGAAGCCCCGGCUAACUACGUGCCAGCAGCCGCGGUAAAACGUAG